GAUGAACGCUAGCUACAGGCUUAACACAUGCAAGUCGAGGGGCAGCAUGAUUGAAGCUUGCUUCAAUUGAUGGCGACCGGCGCACGGGUGAGUAACACGUAUCCAACCUUCCGUACACUCAGGGAUAGCCUUUCGAAAGAAAGAUUAAUACCUGAUGGUAUCUUAAGCACACAUGUAAUUAAGAUUAAAGAUUUAUCGGUGUACGAUGGGGAUGCGUUCCAUUAGGUAGUAGGCGGGGUAACGGCCCACCUAGCCUACGAUGGAUAGGGGUUCUGAGAGGAAGGUCCCCCACAUUGGAACUGAGACACGGUCCAAACUCCUACGGGAGGCAGCAGUGAGGAAUAUUGGUCAAUGGACGAGAGUCUGAACCAGCCAAGUAGCGUGCAGGAUGACGGCCCUAUGGGUUGUAAACUGCUUUUAUAAGGGAAUAAAGUGGGAGUCGUGACUCUUUUUGCAUGUACCUUAUGAAUAAGGACCGGCUAAUUCCGUGCCAGCAGCCG
This 500-nucleotide ribosomal RNA is filed under the name uncultured bacterium. RNAcentral's name for it is "bacterial SSU rRNA". It matches the Rfam family "Bacterial small subunit ribosomal RNA", at positions 28 to 517 of the family's 1533-position model. The record is from RNAcentral.